This 804-nucleotide long non-coding RNA is filed under the name Nicotiana tabacum (common tobacco). RNAcentral describes it as "long non-coding RNA (NTAB_LNC009011)". Lineage: Eukaryota; Viridiplantae; Streptophyta; Magnoliopsida; Solanales; Solanaceae. The record is from RNAcentral.
AGAUUUACUUGACUUAAAAGAUUCCGAGCCCAUAAAGGGAGUCUUAGGCCUGAAUUGUUCUUAUAUUCUGAAUCAUGCUAAUGCACUCUUUUGGUUACUAGAUUGGUACUUGUAUUAGAUAAAUACUCAUGGGGCUGUAGGCUGAAGUGCUGAACCAUGUCAUAUGAUUUCAUCCUAUCUAAAGUACUUUGCAUAGCCAUGUUAAGGUGACUCUUAUCAUAAUCGAUGUCAGUCAUUGUACUCCUAGUUUAGACCAGCGGUAUAAUUAAGGCUUAUGUUAACUAAUAAUCAUGUUGAUUGAUGUCGAACAGAAUCUGGAGCUGAGACUGGUGAUCCACUUCAUUGGAAAGAAAGAGAUUUGCAUAAACCCAUUAUACAGCUGAGCUUGCAAAGACAACUUGGCCUUCUGAUUUAUGGGUAGGAAUGCAUUGUCUGCUGGCUCCAUAGAGUAUUCUUUCUUUCACUGUUUUAUUCUUUUCCUCUUGUCUUCGUUUUUUAUUCCCCUCCUCUCCUCCUGGGGCCACCUCCCUGUGUGAUAUUAAGAGUCCAUUUCCUAAUUUUCCUUCCUUGUUUUUGUUUCACAUAUAUUUCAGUUUAGAAGAUCACAAAUAAUAGAGUUUUAAAGUGGUCUCACUUUGUGGCAAUGCAGGUGCAAGAAGGGGAUCCUUCAUUUAUGCAUGAUCGGAUUAAAUAUCAAUGAAGGAGAGAAAUUUCUGUAUGUACAUAUUAAUUUUAUUGUCUUUGUCAGGUUGUGAUGAUGAUAACAAUUAAGCUGAGCUGGUCCUCUUAAAGCUUAAGAUUGGA